Molecule: ribosomal RNA, 425 nt
Filed under: uncultured bacterium
Lineage: Bacteria
Description: partial 16S ribosomal RNA
Rfam family: Bacterial small subunit ribosomal RNA
Source: RNAcentral
GUGGGGAAUAUUGGACAAUGGGCGCAAGCCUGAUCCAGCCAUGCCGCGUGAGUGAUGAAGGCCCUAGGGUUGUAAAGCUCUUUCAGUGGGGACGAUAAUGACGGUACCCACAGAAGAAGCCCCGGCUAACUUCGUGCCAGCAGCCGCGGUAAUACGAAGGGGGCUAGCGUUGUUCGGAUUUACUGGGCGUAAAGCGCACGUAGGCGGAUCGUUAAGUCGAGGGUGAAAUCCUGGAGGUCAACUCCAGAACUGCCUUCGAUACUGGCGAUCUUGAGUCCGGAAGAGGUGAGUGGAACUCCUAGUGUAGAGGUGGAAUUCGUAGAUAUUAGGAAGAACACCAGUGGCGAAGGCGGCUCACUGGUCCGGUACUGACGCUGAGGUGCGAAAGCGUGGGGAGCAAACAGGAUUAGAAACCCGGGUAGUCC